CGGUUGAUCCCGCCGGAGGUUACUGCUAUCGUUGUUCGACUAAGCCAUGCAAGUCAUAUGUUCCUCGUGAACAUGGCAUACUGCUCAGUAACACGUGGAUAACCUGCCCUUGGGUCUGGGAUAACCCCGGGAAACUGGGGAUAAUAUCGGAUAACGCAUAUGUGCUGGAAUGCUUUAUGCGUAAAACGGAUUCGUCCGCCCAAGGAUGGGUCUGCGGCCUAUCAGGUAGUAGUGGGUGUAAUGUACCUACUAGCCAACAACGGGUACGGGUUGUGAGAGCAAGAGCCCGGAGAUGGAUUCUGAGACAUGAAUCCAGGCCCUACGGGGCGCAGCAGGCGCGAAAACUUUACAAUGCGGGAAACCGUGAUAAGGGAACACCGAGUGCCAGCAUCAUAUGCUGGCUGUCCAGAUGUGUAAACUACAUCUGUUAGCAAGGGCCGGGCAAGACCGGUGCCAGCCGCCGCGGUAACACCGGCGGCCCGAGUGGUGACCGUUAUUAUUGGGUCUAAAGGGUCCGUAGCCGGUUUGGUCAGUCCUCCGGGAAAUCUGAUAGCUUAACUGUUAUGCUUUCGGGGGAU
RNAcentral lists this ribosomal RNA (578 nucleotides) under uncultured archaeon. RNAcentral describes it as "bacterial SSU rRNA". It matches the Rfam family "Archaeal small subunit ribosomal RNA", at positions 5 to 582 of the family's 1478-position model. The record is from RNAcentral.